AACCGGCGAUACCCGAAUGGGGAAACCCAGUGUGUUUCGACACACUAUCAUGUCAUGAAUACAUAGUGGCAUGAGGCGAACCGGGGGAACUGAAACAUCUAAGUACCCCGAGGAAAAGAAAUCAACCGAGAUUCCCCCAGUAGCGGCGAGCGAACGGGGAGGAGCCCAGAACCUGAAUCGGCUUGUGUGUUAGUGGAAGCGUCUGGAAAGUCGCGCAGCAAAGGGUGAUAGCCCCGUACACUAAAAUGCACAGGUCGUGAGUUCGAUGAGUAGGGCGGGACACGUGACAUCCUGUCUGAAUAUGGGGGGACCAUCCUCCAAGGCUAAAUACUCCUGACUGACCGAUAGUGAACCAGUACCGUGAGGGAAAGGCGAAAAGAACCCCGGCGAGGGGAGUGAAAUAGAACCUGAAACCGUGUACGUACAAGCAGUGGGAGCACCUUCGUGGUGUGACUGCGUACCUUUUGUAUAAUGGGUCAGCGACUUAUAUUUUGUAGCAAGGUUAACCGUAUAGGGGAGCCGUAGGGAAACCGAGUCUUAACUGGGCGAUUAGUUGCAAGGUAUAGACCCGAAACCCGGUGAUCUAGCCAUGGGCAGGUUGAAGGUUGGGUAACACUAACUGGAGGACCGAACCGACUAAUGUUGAAAAAUUAGCGGAUGACUUGUGGCUGGGGGUGAAAGGCCAAUCAAACCGGGAGAUAGCUGGUUCUCCCCGAAAGCUAUUUAGGUAGCGCCUCGUGAACUCAUCUUCGGGGGUAGAGCACUGUUUCGGCUAGGGGGCCAUCCCGGCUUACCAAACCGAUGCAAACUCCGAAUACCGAAGAAUGUUAUCACGGGAGACACACGGCGGGUGCUAACGUCCGUCGUGAAGAGGGAAACAACCCAGACCGCCAGCUAAGGUCCCAAAGUCAUGGUUAAGUGGGAAACGAUGUGGGAAGGCACAGACAGCCAGGAUGUUGGCUUAGAAGCAGCCAUCAUUUAAAGAAAGCGUAAUAGCUCACUGGUCGAGUCGGCCUGCGCGGAAGAUGUAACGGGGCUAAACCAUGCACCGAAGCUGCGGCAGCGACGCUUAGGCGUUGUUGGGUAGGGGAGCGUUCUGUAAGCCGUUGAAGGUGGCCUGUGAGGGUUGCUGGAGGUAUCAGAAGUGCGAAUGCUGACAUAAGUAACGAUAAAGCGGGUGAAAAGCCCGCUCGCCGGAAGACCAAGGGUUCCUGUCCAACGUUAAUCGGGGCAGGGUGAGUCGACCCCUAAGGCGAGGCUGAAAAGCGUAGUCGAUGGGAAACAGGUUAAUAUUCCUGUACUUGGUGUUACUGCGAAGGGGGGACGGAGAAGGCUAGGCU
This 1340-nucleotide ribosomal RNA is filed under the name Serratia marcescens. Its description in RNAcentral is "partial 23S ribosomal RNA". It matches the Rfam family "Bacterial large subunit ribosomal RNA", at positions 102 to 1488 of the family's 2925-position model. The record is from RNAcentral. Lineage: Bacteria; Pseudomonadati; Pseudomonadota; Gammaproteobacteria; Enterobacterales; Yersiniaceae.